Molecule: ribosomal RNA, 253 nt
Filed under: uncultured bacterium
Lineage: Bacteria
Description: partial 16S ribosomal RNA
Rfam family: Bacterial small subunit ribosomal RNA
Source: RNAcentral
UACAGAGGCCCCGAGCGUUAAUCGGAAUCACUGGGCUUAAAGGGUGCGUAGGCGGGUCAGUAAGCGCUUUGUGAAAUCCCACAGCUCAACUGUGGAACCGCAGGGCGAACUGCUGAUCUUGAGGAAGCUAGAGGCUGGUAGAACGAUAGGUGGAGCGGUGGAAUGCGUAGAGAUCUGCAAGAAUACCCGUGGCGAAGGCGGCCAGCUGGGCCGGAUCCGACGCUGAGGCGCGAAAGCGUGGGGAGCAAACAGG